CACAGCCACGGUAAUACGUAGGUGGCAAGCGUUGUCCGGAAUUAUUGGGCGUAAAGCGCGCGCAGGCGGAUCGGUCAGUCUGUCUUAAAAGUUCGGGGCUUAACCCCGUGAUGGGAUGGAAACUGCCAAUCUAGAGUAUCGGAGAGGAAAGUGGAAUUCCUAGUGUAGCGGUGAAAUGCGUAGAUAUUAGGAAGAACACCAGAGGCGAAGGCGACUUUCUGGACGAAAACUGACGCUGAGGCGCGAAAGCCAGGGGAGCGAACGGGAUUAGAGACCCCGGUAGUCCCUGUCUCUUAUACAC
RNAcentral lists this ribosomal RNA (301 nucleotides) under uncultured bacterium. Its description in RNAcentral is "partial 16S ribosomal RNA". It matches the Rfam family "Bacterial small subunit ribosomal RNA", at positions 510 to 810 of the family's 1533-position model. The record is from RNAcentral.